RNAcentral lists this ribosomal RNA (398 nucleotides) under uncultured bacterium. Its description in RNAcentral is "bacterial SSU rRNA". It matches the Rfam family "Bacterial small subunit ribosomal RNA", at positions 521 to 916 of the family's 1533-position model. The record is from RNAcentral.
UAAUACGGAGGGGGCCAGCGUUGUUCGGAAUCAUUGGGCGUAAAGAGCGCGCAGGCGGUUGGGUCAGUCAGACGUGGAAGCCCUGGGCUUAACCCAGGAAUUGCGUUUGAUACUGCCCGGCUCGAGUUCGGGAGAGGGUGGCGGAAUUCCCAGUGUAGAGGUGAAAUUCGUAGAUAUUGGGAGGAACACCUGUGGCGAAGGCGGCUACCUGGACCGAUACUGACGCUGAGGCGCGAAAGCCAGGGGAGCGAACGGGAUUAGAUACCCCGGUAGUCCUGUGCUGUAAACGAUGAUGACUAGGUGUAGGAGGUAUCGACCCCUCCUGUGCCGCAGCUAACGCAUUAAGUCAUCCGCCUGGGGAUUACGGCCGCAAGGCUAAAACUCAAAGGAAUUGACGG